RNAcentral lists this ribosomal RNA (215 nucleotides) under Klebsiella pneumoniae. Its description in RNAcentral is "partial 23S ribosomal RNA". It matches the Rfam family "Bacterial large subunit ribosomal RNA", at positions 2718 to 2925 of the family's 2925-position model. Lineage: Bacteria; Pseudomonadati; Pseudomonadota; Gammaproteobacteria; Enterobacterales; Enterobacteriaceae. The record is from RNAcentral.
GGGUUGUCAUGCCAAUGGCACUGCCCGGUAGCUGAUAAGUGCAGAGAUAAGUGCUGAAAGCAUCUAAGCACGAAACUUGCCCCGAGAUGAGUUCUCCCUGAGACUAUAAGUCUCCUGAAGGAACGUUGAAGACGACGACGUUGAUAGGCCGGGUGUGUAAGCGCAGCGAUGCGUUGAGCUAACCGGUACUAAUGAACCGUGAGGCUUAACCAGAU